This 375-nucleotide unclassified non-coding RNA is filed under the name uncultured fungus. Its description in RNAcentral is "sequence contains ITS1". The stretch from base 1 to 105 matches the Rfam family "5.8S ribosomal RNA", at positions 50 to 154 of the family's 154-position model. Lineage: Eukaryota; Fungi. The record is from RNAcentral.
GAAAUGCGAUACGUAGUGUGAAUUGCAGAAAUACGUGAAUCAUCGAAUCUUUGAACGCAUAUUGCACUCGAGGCUUCGGCCAAGAGCAUGUCUGCCUCAGCGUCGGGUUAAUACUCGUCCCAAACACACCUGUGUGCUUGGGUGCGGACCUGGCUGUCUCGGCGCAAUUAGUUUUGCGCCGGGUCAGCUGAAGAACAGAGGUUGAUGCAUGGACCCGUUACACGGGCCUCUACUGGGUAGGCAGCUCUGCUUGCUAAUGCUUUAGUAGAUGGCUUGGGACCGUGCUUCGUCGACCCAAACCAGGAACUCGGAUUCGUUCGAGCACCCCUUUAUUUCCUCGACCUGAGCUCAGGCAAGAUUACCCGCUGAACUUAA